AUGAACGCUGGCGGCGUGCCUAAUACAUGCCAGUCGAGCGAACGGACGAGAAGCUUGCUUCUCUGAUGUUAGCGGCGGACGGGUGAGUAACACGUGGAUAACCUACCUAUAAGACUGGGAUAACUUCGGGAAACCGGAGCUAAUACCGGAUGAUAUUUUGAACCGCAUGGUUCAAAAGUGAAAGACGGUCUUGCUGUCACUUAUAGAUGGAUCCGCGCUGCAUUAGCUAGUUGGUAAGGUAACGGCUUACCAAGGCAACGAUGCAUAGCCGACCUGAGAGGGUGAUCGGCCACACUGGAACUGAGACACGGUCCAGACUCCUACGGGAGGCAGCAGUAGGGAAUCUUCCGCAAUGGGCGAAAGCCUGACGGAGCAACGCCGCGUGAGUGAUGAAGGUCUUCGGAUCGUAAAACUCUGUUAUUAGGGAAGAACAUAUGUGUAAGUAACUGUGCACAUCUUGACGGUACCUAAUCAGAAAGCCACGGCUAACUACGU
This 495-nucleotide ribosomal RNA is filed under the name uncultured bacterium. RNAcentral's name for it is "partial 16S ribosomal RNA". It matches the Rfam family "Bacterial small subunit ribosomal RNA", at positions 29 to 506 of the family's 1533-position model. The record is from RNAcentral.